GAUGAAGAACGUAGCGAAAUGCGAUAAGUAGUGUGAAUUGCAGAAUUCAGUGAAUCAUCGAAUCUUUGAACGCACAUUGCGCCCCUCGGUAUUCCGUGGGGCAUGCCUGUUCGAGCGUCAUUGCUGCCCUCAAGCACGGCUUGUGUGUUGGGCCUCCGUCCUCCUCCCGGGGGACGGGCCCGAAAGGCAGCGGCGGCACCGCGUCCGGUCCUCGAGCGUAUGGGGCUUCGUCACCCGCUCUUGUAGGCCCGGCCGGCGCUUGCCGACACAUCAAUCUUUUUUCCAGGUUGACCUCGGAUCAGGUAGGGAUACCCGCUGAACUUAAGCAUAUCAAUAAGCGGAGGA
This 345-nucleotide unclassified non-coding RNA is filed under the name soil metagenome. Its description in RNAcentral is "partial contains 5.8S ribosomal RNA, internal transcribed spacer 2, and large subunit ribosomal RNA". The stretch from base 1 to 120 matches the Rfam family "5.8S ribosomal RNA", at positions 35 to 154 of the family's 154-position model. The record is from RNAcentral.